CUGCUGCUGAUGAGAGCCAACCAGGUCGAAACAGCUGUCCAGUAG
This 45-nucleotide non-coding RNA is filed under the name Echinostoma caproni. The record is from RNAcentral. Lineage: Eukaryota; Metazoa; Platyhelminthes; Trematoda; Plagiorchiida; Echinostomatidae.